UACGGGAGGCAGCAGUGGGGAAUAUUGCGCAAUGGGGGAAACCCUGACGCAGCCAUACCGCGUGGAUGAAGAAGGCCUUAGGGUCGUAAAGUCCUUUCAGUAAGGAAAAAAAUCUUGGCAUUAAUAGUGUCAGGACUUGAUGUUACUUACAGAAGAAGCACCGGCUAACUCCGUGCCAGCAGCCGCGGUAA
This 191-nucleotide ribosomal RNA is filed under the name uncultured bacterium. RNAcentral describes it as "partial 16S ribosomal RNA". It matches the Rfam family "Bacterial small subunit ribosomal RNA", at positions 340 to 523 of the family's 1533-position model. The record is from RNAcentral.